Molecule: ribosomal RNA, 495 nt
Filed under: uncultured bacterium
Lineage: Bacteria
Description: partial 16S ribosomal RNA
Rfam family: Bacterial small subunit ribosomal RNA
Source: RNAcentral
GACGAACGCUGGCGGCGUGCCUAAUACAUGCAAGUAGAACGCUGAAGGAGGAGCUUGCUUCUCUGGAUGAGUUGCGAACGGGUGAGUAACGCGUAGGUAACCUGCCUGGUAGCGGGGGAUAACUAUUGGAAACGAUAGCUAAUACCGCAUAAUAGUAGAUGUUGCAUGACAUUUGCUUAAAAGGUGCAAUUGCAUCACUACCAGAUGGACCUGCGUUGUAUUAGCUAGUUGGUGAGGUAACGGCUCAACAAGGCGACGAUACAUAGCCGACCUGAGAGGGGGAUCGGCCACACUGGGACUGAGACACGGCCCAGACUCCUACGGGAGGCAGCAGUAGGGAAUCUUCGGCAAUGGACGGAAGGCUGACCGAGCAACGCCGCGUGAGGGAAGAAGGUUUUCGGAUCGUAAAGCUCUGUUGUAAGAGAAGAACGAGUGUGAGAGUGGAAAGUUCACACUGUGACGGUAUCUUACCAGAAAGGGACGGCUAACUACGUG